CCAGCACUGCACUGGGACUCACAUUUCAGCCCAAGCUUUUAAGAGGGCUGACCUCGGUGGUCUGCUAUAUGAAAGAGCUUCAGUAAUCAUGAUCCAUCAUGGGAAAAAGAAGUUAUCAGGCAAGAGGAUGUGAGGGGAACAAUUAUAUGGAUGGAAAACAUCUUCAUUAUCAAAGAAACAGACUCGGGAAGGGGAUGUGCUGGCAUCACACCUACAAAGACGAGCAGGGAGGGGAACAGGACGAGGUAGAGCUGAAGAAAUGGGGCUGCAGAAGUUGUUGAAUUUGGCCCGAGUGGCCAGGCAGUCCCAGGCGCCAUUCACAGGUUGUGGACAAUUAGCAGAUGUUUCUUUUUCCAGGUAAGUCCAAUCCCACAGGUGUAGGCUGUGUUUAUACUGAGUCAGAUGGUGGUGGCGUCAUAGCAGUAUGACCAGGGGAUUUUGGCCAGGGGAUGGCUCCUCUCUUCUUGAGAGCCAGGACUCAGCGUUCCAACGUUCCAGGGAAGAUACUGGUAAAAAUUAAGAAAUGGUGGUUUGCCCGUGAGUUCCCCUGAGUCAUCAGCACCCAUCGGUGAUACACUAUACCUGACCCUGUGGCCUUUAAAUCAUGUUAUAGAAUUUGAGUAACUAGGAAAAUAUUCACAUCAAAUAACUGAUAAAAAGGGUUAUACAACCAUAUGCACCAUAUAAGGCAAAAUAUCUCUCUAUUUUUAUCUGCAACUAUAUAUGAAGAUACAUAUGAAGAGGAAAAUAACAGAUUGGGAAGAAAUGCAUGAAGAUGUUAUUAGUGGUUAUCUCCAGGUGGUAGAAUCUCAGGUGAUGUAUAGUUUCAUCUGUGUAUCUUCCAAGUCUUCUGUAGUUAACAUGGAUUACUUAUAAAAAAGAAAAAGCAAAUAUUGAAAAAAAAAACACAGAGAAAGACUCCACUAGGCAGAAU
RNAcentral lists this long non-coding RNA (934 nucleotides) under Felis catus (domestic cat). RNAcentral describes it as "lncRNA (ENSFCAG00000047296.1)". Lineage: Eukaryota; Metazoa; Chordata; Mammalia; Carnivora; Felidae. The record is from RNAcentral.